CAGUCGCCGCGGUAAUACGUAGGUGGCGAGCGUUGUCCGGAAUUAUUGGGCGUAAAGGGAGCGCAGGCGGACAUAUAAGUCCAUCUUAAAAGUGCGGGGCUCAACCCCGUGAGGGGAUGGAAACUGUAUGCCUUGAGUGCAGGAGAGGAAAGCGGAAUUCCCAGUGUAGCGGUGAAAUGCGUAGAUAUUGGGAGGAACACCAGUGGCGAAGGCGGCUUUCUGGACUGUAACUGAUGCUGAGGCGCGAAAGCCAGGGGAGCGAACGGGAUUAGAUACCCCCGUAGUCCCUGUCUCUUAUACA
Molecule: ribosomal RNA, 301 nt
Filed under: uncultured bacterium
Lineage: Bacteria
Description: partial 16S ribosomal RNA
Rfam family: Bacterial small subunit ribosomal RNA
Source: RNAcentral